This 65-nucleotide transfer RNA is filed under the name Echinoecus nipponicus. Its description in RNAcentral is "tRNA-Phe". Lineage: Eukaryota; Metazoa; Arthropoda; Malacostraca; Decapoda; Pilumnidae. The record is from RNAcentral.
AUUUAUAUAAUUUAUUAAGAAUAUUGCAUUGAAGCUGCAAAAGAGACAUAAUUUGUCUGUAAAUA